Non-coding RNA from Nicotiana tabacum (common tobacco), 1661 nucleotides. NCBI's taxonomy places the organism in Eukaryota, Viridiplantae, Streptophyta, Magnoliopsida, Solanales, Solanaceae. The record is from RefSeq and is a predicted model, not a curated record.
CUGUCUACUAUGGGAUAUAGACCUUGCUUUACGUUGCCACUGGGGAUGAGGCAUAUAUAUAUGGCUUUUAACCGUGAAAUGGAUGCUAAUUCAGUCAAAAAGGAAAGAAGAUGUACUUCAUUGCCAUCUGAAUCACUAGAGUGGAACAUGCCUCUAGCUGGAAAGAAGAUGAAUGAAUGUCUGAGUUGAAUGCUAUUGCAAGGGAAGUUGAAGCAGAGUUAGCUCCAAGAGAAAUAGGAUGCAAUUUGGCUGACCUUUUGGAUGCAGUGAACACAGUCCUUUUCAAGUCAAUGGCUUCAGAUAUCAAUAGCAAUUCACAGACAGAGCUUGAGAUUGCAAUUAUUGGGAAAUCGAUCAACUCUCCUAAUAAACUGCCAGCCAGGUCGCGUGACCAAUAAUUAUUACUCUACUACAUUCUUUUUUUCAGAGGCUUCACUGGAAAUGUGCUUCUAGAGCAAAUCAUGGUUUAAUGCCGACUUCUCCUCUCCACUUAGGUCUACUGAUAAUUUUAGUUCAAAUGCAUAUUUGGUGCGGCCUCAAGAUUUGAGGUUCAAGAUGCUAAAUUGCAACCUUGGAAUGGGGAGAAUUGUGAUUUUGGCGACACAAUGUUAUUCUUAAAGAUUUUAACUUUCAACCAUUUACUCUGUGAUACUGCAGCCAUCUUUCCUGGUUUUGAAAAGUUCCUCUCCAUAUUUUAACUUCAUUUAUCAAAGCCAAAAAGCAUACAGAUAUGCAGAUUGGCUUUUUGUCACAUUAUCUAUCCUGUUACAGAAUGAUAUAUAUAUACAAAUUAUAUAGCAGCCAACAAUACUAGAUCUCACACUGCAUGUAGACUUGAUUUUUCCUUUGUAGUAUCCACUGUCUUCUGACCAAAACAUCUGAUUUAGUUUAACAGACUUAUUUAAUUAUUUCUGUGCAUACUUAUAAUGACAUAACGUAUGAGAUGUUAUUAUACUUUUUUAGGCUGGCUAUUAUGGCUUCAGAAAGAUUGCUGAUUCUGCAGCCACACAAUUGGUCUUUGAGGAGAGAUCAUGGCAUGAUGUUGUACUAUAGUAGGGAAUAUGAGGAGGCAGUGAAGGAGCUAAGCAUUUGAGAAAUUACACUUACUGUGUUUGGAAUCAUCAUGGAAAUCACUUGGACAUAAAGGUCACUUAUCAGUUCCUUGACUUGUUUUGUGAAAAUCUUGGUGACUUCUUGAUCCAAUAUACAAAAAGAACACACGACCAGUAGGACUUUAUCUGUAGUAUUUAUUUAUUUAUUCAUUUGUUAUAUUUGACUUUUGUAAAUAGUUUCCUUGGACCAACCUUUUUUGCAUUGUUUCAAUGAAUGGACUAUUUUGAACAGCUCCCAGCAGCUAUCUUAGCUCUCAUAGCUGGACAUCCUUCAAAAAUAAGUUCCAUCUUCAUGCGAAUAAAGUCCUAUAUUAAAAGUUGAUAUGAAAAAAUAGGCUAUAUAUAAGGUAAGGUGAUACUUCUGAUGCGUGGAGCCUUUUGGGAAAAUCAUCCAGGUUUGGUCCAAAAACGGAGACCAUGUUAAGAGUGUCUUUGGAUUAACUUAGCCCAAUAAUGUGGUCAGCAGGCCUAAAGAAUACUAAGCAUACAGUUUGAGCCAUGUUGUGCAACUUAAACGUGAUUAUGGCUAAUUAGUAAAAAAACGUAGCU